CCUACGUGUGGCAGCAGUGGGGGAUAUUGCACAAUGGGGGAAACCCUGAUGCAGCGACGCAGCGUGGGCGAAGAAGUAUUUCGGUAUGUAAAGCCCUAUCAGCAGGGAAGUAGAAAUGACGGUAUCUGAGUAAGAAGCACCAGCUAAAUACGUGCCAGCAGCCGCGGUAAUACGUAUGGUGCAAGCGGUAUCCGGAUUUACUGGGUGUAAAGGGGGCGUAGGGGGUACGGCAAGCCUGAUGUGAAAGGCCGCGGCCCAACCGCGGGACAGGCUUGGGAACUGCCGGGCUUGAGUGCCGGAGAGGUAGGCGGAAUGCCUAGUGUAGCGGUGAAAUGCGUAGAUAUUAGGAGGAACACCAGUGGCGAAGGCGGCCUACUGGACGGUGACUGACGCUGAGGCUCGAAAGCGUGGGGAGCGAACAGGAUUAGAUACCCCUGUAGUC
Molecule: ribosomal RNA, 442 nt
Filed under: uncultured bacterium
Lineage: Bacteria
Description: partial 16S ribosomal RNA
Rfam family: Bacterial small subunit ribosomal RNA
Source: RNAcentral